ACUCAAAUGAAUUGACGGGGAGGCGCACAAGCAGUGGAGCAUGUGGUUUAAUUCGAUAUGAAGCGAAAAACCUCACCUGGGUUUGACAUGUAUCUGCAAGCGCACGGAAACGUGUGAUCUUCGAGAGUGAUACACAGAUGCUGCAUGGCUGUCGUCAGCUCGUGGCGUGAGCUGUACCCUUAAGUGGGACAACGAGCGCAACCCGCAUCAUAUGUUAAAUAAUUCAUAUGAAACUGCCCCGAUUAUAUCGGGGAGGAAGGCGCGGAUGAUGUCAAGUCCGCACGGCUCUUACACCCAGGGCUACACACAUCCUACAAUGGCGAAUAACAACGAGCUGCAAGCGGGCAACCGCAAGCUAAUCUCUAAAAUUUCGCCUCAGUUCAGAUUGGGGGCUGCAACUUGCCCCCAUGAAGCCGGAAUUGCUAGUAAUCGCGAAUCAGCAGGUCGCGGUGAAUACGUUCUCGCCUCUUGUACACACCGCCCGU
This 485-nucleotide ribosomal RNA is filed under the name uncultured bacterium. Its description in RNAcentral is "partial 16S ribosomal RNA". It matches the Rfam family "Bacterial small subunit ribosomal RNA", at positions 899 to 1397 of the family's 1533-position model. The record is from RNAcentral.